Molecule: ribosomal RNA, 473 nt
Filed under: uncultured bacterium
Lineage: Bacteria
Description: bacterial SSU rRNA
Rfam family: Bacterial small subunit ribosomal RNA
Source: RNAcentral
GACGAACGCUGGCGGCGUGCCUAACACAUGCAAGUCGAACGGAGAAUCAGAUGAAGCUUGCGAUUCUGAUUCUUAGCGGCGGAUGGGUGAGUAACGCGUGGGCAACCUGCCUCGAAGACCGGGAUAACAGACCGAAAGGGCUGCUAAUACCGGAUGUGGUCAAGGAUCCGCAUGGAUUUUUGAUUAAAGGGGAAACCCGUUUCGAGAUGGGCCCGCGUCCUAUCAGCUAGUUGGUGAGGUAAAAGCUCACCAAGGCGACGACGGGUAGCCGGCCUGAGAGGGUGACCGGCCACACUGGAACUGAGACACGGUCCAGACUCCUACGGGGGCAGCAGUGGGGAAUCUUCCACAAUGGGCGAAAGCCUGAUGGAGCGACGCCGCGUGAGCGAAGAAGGCCUUCGGGUUGUAAAGCUCUGUCUGGAGGGACGAAGGAAGUGACGGUACCUCCGGAGGAAGCCACGGCUAACUACGUG